GUGAACAAAAUUCAGGUUCCUACAAUUUUAAAUUAAUCUAGUUUCUGCAUGUGAGAUGUAUUGUUUUCAGGUUUUGUACAUGACCUGUAUUAUUGGUCUUGUUAUUUUUAUGUUGGAAAAGUCUGAGAUUUAGAUUGUUGAUCUGCUUCCUACAGAUCUCUUUGUCACGAAAUGUACUGGUGGUCUUUAAUCUGUUUUGCACAAUGCACAGAUGUUGGUGUCCAUAGUGCUUACUACAUGAACAUGAUAUUUGGAGUCUUACUUUAAUGGAGUGCUAAUCUGAUCAUGCUUGGAAAAGGGAUAUCAUGAUAGGUUUUGUUAGCCUGGGGCUUGUCUGAAACUGUUGUAGUCCUGUAAAUACAAAAGUAAAAAGUGUUGAAUGGGAACAGUAGUAGGUGCCAUUGUCAUCUGGAUUUAUUAGUCUGUAGUAGGUGUCAUUGUCAUCUGGAUUUAUUAGUCUGUAGUAGGUGUCAUUGUCCUGGUAAAAGAUGGUCUGAACUCUGAAGCUAGUAGAAACUACUGGUUCAACAUUUCUUUUCUUGAUUCAGAUAAUUCAGUUCGUUCAUUUCUUAACAUUUUGCCGCUAGUACAAACUACUGAACGUACGCCAUCGCUGCCACGCCCGUGCCGCCCCGCCUCUUCCGACUCCGGCGGCAGGUCGGCGGCAACCGACGGAGGUCUGACCACGACAGUAACAACGAUGGAAACUGCACAAUCUCAGAAUGCUUGUGGUCAGCUUGACUAGUUUCAAACAAUGGCGGAACGCUUGGCUUCGAUAUUUGGUACAGAGAAAGACAGUGUCAACUGUCCAUUUUUUACUUCAAGAUUGGAGCUUGUCAUCAUGGCGAUCGCCGCUCCCGCAUCCAUAACAGGCCAACCAUGAACAUGUAUCAGCGCUCUGAUAUGAUUACCCCUGGUCACAUGAUCCUUCGAAAUUAAGCAUCUCUUCGCCUUUAUAUACACUUGUUUACAUUAAUAUCUUUCCUCUGUACUUCACACACACACACACACACACACAAACACACACACACACACACACACAUGUGACCUUGAAGGAAUAUUUGGAACGAAGUUUUCUAAGUUUUGUUGCACAGAGGAACAUAUGCCAUUUGUUUAGAAGUACAAGGAAGGAAUCAGGAGUAUGCUUGGAAGUGACCUCAAAGGAACGCUUUGAAAUGAAGUUUGCAAAGUUUGUUGCUCAGAGGAGAGGAGCACUGAUCUGCUAGGGUGCAACACAAUUCUUCUAAGGCAGGACCGAGGGAAGCACACUGUUAAUUCUAAAGAUGCUGAUGCUGAUGGAACUAUGGAAUGAUUGGGAGCUACAGCUACUGGUGCUCCUAGGCUUCACGCUACAGAUUUUCAUCUUCUUUUCUGGUGGCCUCCGGCGGUGCAGAACUAACUAAGGCUGAGGCUUCUGAUUUCGUUGGCUUACUUGCUAUCUGACAUGGUCGCAGUCUAUGCUCUUGGCCAGCUUUCACUGCUUAACAAUGAUGUGCCUGGAGCUGGAGAAAUGCACCGGCUCUCGUUUUUUUCGACGCCUUUCCUCAUUCAUCUUGGUGUGAUUCUACUUGUAUGAAAACAGGUCAAUUUCCUGAUCUAGAAGGCAAGCUGGAAUUGGACUAUCUGACACUUGUGAAGUGUGCUUUAUCUAGCGCAUCAGGUGUCAGAAAUCUAUUUGUUGGUUGCAAGCUUGCUAAAAUUGAAGGUAACAUACAGAGAACA
This is a long non-coding RNA of Triticum aestivum (bread wheat), 1722 nucleotides long. RefSeq lists it as uncharacterized. Lineage: Eukaryota; Viridiplantae; Streptophyta; Magnoliopsida; Poales; Poaceae. The transcript has 4 exons. The record is from RefSeq and is a predicted model, not a curated record.